RNAcentral lists this ribosomal RNA (242 nucleotides) under uncultured bacterium. Its description in RNAcentral is "partial 16S ribosomal RNA". It matches the Rfam family "Bacterial small subunit ribosomal RNA", at positions 92 to 334 of the family's 1533-position model. The record is from RNAcentral.
CGACCGGCGCACGGGUGCGUAACGCGUAUAGAACCUACCUUUUACAGGGGAAUAGCCCAGAGAAAUUUGGAUUAAUGCCCCAUAGUAUUAUAGAAUGGCAUCAUUUUAUAAUUAAACAUUUAUGGGUAAAAGAUGGCUAUGCGUUCUAUUAGCUAGAUGGUAAGGUAACGGCUUACCAUGGCAACGAUAGAUAGGGGUCCUGAGAGGGAGAUCCCCCACACUGGUACUGAGACACGGACCAG